GAUGAACGCUGGCGGCGUGCCUAAUACAUGCAAGUCGAGCGAACGGACGAGAAGCUUGCUUUUCUGAUUUUAGCGGCGGACGGGUGAGUAACACGUGUAUAACCUACCUAUAAGACUGGGAUAACUUCGGGAAACCGGAGCUAAUACCGGAUAAUAUUUUGAACCGCAUGGUUCAUAAGUGAAAGACGGUCUUGCUGUCUCUUAUAGAUGGAUCCGCGCUGCAUUAGCUAGUUGGUAAGGUAACGCCUUACCAAGGCAACGAUGCAUAGCCGACAUGAGAUGGUGAUCGGCAACACUGGAACUGAGACACGGUCCAGACUCCUACGGGAGGCAGCAGUAGGGAAUCUUACGCAAUGGGCGAAAGCAUGACGGAGCAACGCCGCGUGAGUGAUGAAGGUCUUCGGAUAGUAAAACUCUGUUAUUAGGGAAGAACAUAUGUGUAAGUAACUGUGCACAUCUUGACGGUAACUAAUCAGAAAGCCACGGCUAACUACGUG
Molecule: ribosomal RNA, 497 nt
Filed under: uncultured bacterium
Lineage: Bacteria
Description: partial 16S ribosomal RNA
Rfam family: Bacterial small subunit ribosomal RNA
Source: RNAcentral